Pyrus x bretschneideri (Chinese white pear) is the source of this 606-nucleotide long non-coding RNA. RefSeq lists it as uncharacterized. The record is from RefSeq and is a predicted model, not a curated record. NCBI's taxonomy places the organism in Eukaryota, Viridiplantae, Streptophyta, Magnoliopsida, Rosales, Rosaceae. The transcript has 3 exons.
UCCCUUAAAUCCUCAACCAUCACUUUUCAGAUUCUCUCUCUCUCUCUCUCUCUCUCGGACUCUCUCCCCGAUCGAACCCGCACACACCCACGCACACCCAAAGUGGCACCCCGGCAACACCACCACCACCCUCACGCUCGCGAGGAUCUCCCCUCCCUCUUCCCCGUCUCAGUGAAGCUCGGUGAAGCCCAGAAACCCAGGAGAUCUCCGGCGAAACCCCGUGACUCUCCAGCGAAAAUCCGGCCACUUCCCGGCCACCACUCGUCGUGAAACAGUUGUGAGUAUUUCUGAGUCUCAACGGGUCAAGCUUCCAAAUUUCCAAGGAACAAGUCUUUGACCGUUGAUCUUCCCUUCGUUGAGUCUGUAUUUGUUGAUCACAAGCAAAGUUAGAUUUGAACUUCCAUUUCUGCACCUCAAUAUUGCUCAAAAGCGGUUCGGUCUUUCGUUGAUUGCUCGGAGUAAUCCUCGCUCUUAACAUGGCACUCGGAGAGGUUUUUCUUGCGGCGUUUCUACAGUUGCUGCUCGACAGGUUGACCCCUCGCGAGAUUCUUGAGUACUUGGGCAAUUUCCGGGGCGUCGGACAGAAGCUGGAGAAGUGGAGGACCA